UUAAGCGACUAAGCGUACACGGUGGAUGCCCUGGCAGUCAGAGGCGAUGAAGGACGUGCUAAUCUGCGAUAAGCGUCGGUAAGGUGAUAUGAACCGUUAUAACCGGCGAUUUCCGAAUGGGGAAACCCAGUGUGAUUCGACACACUAUCAUUAACUGAAUCCAUAGGUUAAUGAGGCGAACCGGGGGAACUGAAACAUCUAAGUACCCCGAGGAAAAGAAAUCAACCGAGAUUCCCCCAGUAGCGGCGAGCGAACGGGGAGCAGCCCAGAGCCUGAAUCAGUGUGUGUGUUAGUGGAAGCGUCUGGAAAGGCGCGCGAUACAGGGUGACAGCCCCGUACACAAAAAUGCACAUGCUGUGAGCUCGAUGAGUAGGGCGGGACACGUGGUAUCCUGUCUGAAUAUGGGGGGACCAUCCUCCAAGGCUAAAUACUCCUGACUGACCGAUAGUGAACCAGUACCGUGAGGGAAAGGCGAAAAGAACCCCGGCGAGGGGAGUGAAAAAGAACCUGAAACCGUGUACGUACAAGCAGUGGGAGCACGCUUAGGCGUGUGACUGCGUACCUUUUGUAUAAUGGGUCAGCGACUUAUAUUCUGUAGCAAGGUUAACCGAAUAGGGGAGCCGAAGGGAAACCGAGUCUUAACUGGGCGUUAAGUUGCAGGGUAUAGACCCGAAACCCGGUGAUCUAGCCAUGGGCAGGUUGAAGGUUGGGUAACACUAACUGGAGGACCGAACCGACUAAUGUUGAAAAAUUAGCGGAUGACUUGUGGCUGGGGGUGAAAGGCCAAUCAAACCGGGAGAUAGCUGGUUCUCCCCGAAAGCUAUUUAGGUAGCGCCUCGUGAAUUCAUCUCCGGGGGUAGAGCACUGUUUCGGCAAGGGGGUCAUCCCGACUUACCAACCCGAUGCAAACUGCGAAUACCGGAGAAUGUUAUCACGGGAGACACACGGCGGGUGCUAACGUCCGUCGUGAAGAGGGAAACAACCCAGACCGCCAGCUAAGGUCCCAAAGUCAUGGUUAAGUGGGAAACGAUGUGGGAAGGCCCAGACAGCCAGGAUGUUGGCUUAGAAGCAGCCAUCAUUUAAAGAAAGCGUAAUAGCUCACUGGUCGAGUCGGCCUGCGCGGAAGAUGUAACGGGGCUAAACCGAUGCACCGAAGCUAGCGGCAGCGACGCUGAUGCGUUGUUGGGUAGGGAGCGUUCUGUAAGCCUGUGAAGGUGUGCUGUGAGGCAUGCUGGAGGUAUCAGAAGUGCGAAUGCUGACAUAAGUAACGAUAAAGCGGGUGAAAGGCCCGCUCGCCGGAAGACCAAGGGUUCCUGUCCAACGUUAAUCGGGGCAGGGUGAGUCGACCCCUAAGGCGAGGCCGAAAGGCGUAGUCGAUGGGAAACAGGUUAAUAUUCCUGUACUUGGUGUUACUGCGAAGGGGGGACGGAGAAGGCUAUGUUGGCCGGGCGACGGUUGUCCCGGUUUAAGCGUGUAGGCUGGUUUUCCAGGCAAAUCCGGAAAAUCAAGGCUGAGGCGUGAUGACGAGGCACUACGGUGCUGAAGCAACAAAUGCCCUGCUUCCAGGAAAAGCCUCUAAGCAUCAGGUAACAUCAAAUCGUACCCCAAACCGACACAGGUGGUCAGGUAGAGAAUACCAAGGCGCUUGAGAGAACUCGGGUGAAGGAACUAGGCAAAAUGGUGCCGUAACUUCGGGAGAAGGCACGCUGAUAUGUAGGUGAAGCGACUUGCUCGUGGAGCUGAAAUCAGUCGAAGAUACCAGCUGGCUGCAACUGUUUAUUAAAAACACAGCACUGUGCAAACACGAAAGUGGACGUAUACGGUGUGACGCCUGCCCGGUGCCGGAAGGUUAAUUGAUGGGGUUAGCGCAAGCGAAGCUCUUGAUCGAAGCCCCGGUAAACGGCGGCCGUAACUAUAACGGUCCUAAGGUAGCGAAAUUCCUUGUCGGGUAAGUUCCGACCUGCACGAAUGGCGUAAUGAUGGCCAGGCUGUCUCCACCCGAGACUCAGUGAAAUUGAACUCGCUGUGAAGAUGCAGUGUACCCGCGGCAAGACGGAAAGACCCCGUGAACCUUUACUAUAGCUUGACACUGAACAUUGAGCCUUGAUGUGUAGGAUAGGUGGGAGGCUUAGAAGUGUGGACGCCAGUCUGCAUGGAGCCGACCUUGAAAUACCACCCUUUAAUGUUUGAUGUUCUAACGUUGACCCGUAAUCCGGGUUGCGGACAGUGUCUGGUGGGUAGUUUGACUGGGGCGGUCUCCUCCUAAAGAGUAACGGAGGAGCACGAAGGUUGGCUAAUCCUGGUCGGACAUCAGGAGGUUAGUGCAAUGGCAUAAGCCAGCUUGACUGCGAGCGUGACGGCGCGAGCAGGUGCGAAAGCAGGUCAUAGUGAUCCGGUGGUUCUGAAUGGAAGGGCCAUCGCUCAACGGAUAAAAGGUACUCCGGGGAUAACAGGCUGAUACCGCCCAAGAGUUCAUAUCGACGGCGGUGUUUGGCACCUCGAUGUCGGCUCAUCACAUCCUGGGGCUGAAGUAGGUCCCAAGGGUAUGGCUGUUCGCCAUUUAAAGUGGUACGCGAGCUGGGUUUAGAACGUCGUGAGACAGUUCGGUCCCUAUCUGCCGUGGGCGCUGGAGAACUGAGGGGGGCUGCUCCUAGUACGAGAGGACCGGAGUGGACGCAUCACUGGUGUUCGGGUUGUCAUGCCAAUGGCAUUGCCCGGUAGCUAAAUGCGGAAGAGAUAAGUGCUGAAAGCAUCUAAGCACGAAACUUGCCCCGAGAUGAGUUCUCCCUGACCCUUUAAGGGUCCUGAAGGAACGUUGAAGACGACGACGUUGAUAGGCCGGGUGUGUAAGCGCAGCGAUGCGUUGAGCUAACCGGUACUAAUGAACCGUGAGGCUUAACCUU
This 2903-nucleotide ribosomal RNA is filed under the name Escherichia coli DEC7B. RNAcentral describes it as "bacterial LSU rRNA". It matches the Rfam family "Bacterial large subunit ribosomal RNA". Lineage: Bacteria; Pseudomonadati; Pseudomonadota; Gammaproteobacteria; Enterobacterales; Enterobacteriaceae. The record is from RNAcentral.